This 470-nucleotide ribosomal RNA is filed under the name uncultured bacterium. RNAcentral's name for it is "bacterial SSU rRNA". It matches the Rfam family "Bacterial small subunit ribosomal RNA", at positions 30 to 501 of the family's 1533-position model. The record is from RNAcentral.
AUUGAACGCUGCGGCAUGCCUUACACAUGCAAGUCGAACGGUAACGGGUUAAGCCGACGAGUGGCGAACGGGUGAGUAAAGUAUCGGAACGUGCCCAAUCGUGGGGGAUAACGUAGCGAAAGUUACGCUAAUACCGCAUAAGAUCUACGGAUGAAAGCGGGGGAUCGCAAGACCUCGCGCGAGUGGAGCGGCUGAUAUCAGAUUAGGUAGUUGGUGAGGUAAAGGCUCACCAAGCCUGCGAUCUGUAGCUGGUCUGAGAGGACGACCAGCCACACUGGGACUGAGACACGGCCCAGACUCCUACGGGAGGCAGCAGUGGGGAAUUUUGGACAAUGGGGGAAACCCUGAUCCAGCCAUGCCGCGUGCAGGAUGAAGGCCUUCGGGUUGUAAACUGCUUUUGUACGGAACGAAAGGCUCUGCCCUAAUACGGUGGAGAUAUGACGGUACCGUAAGAAUAAGCACCGGCUAAC